RNAcentral lists this ribosomal RNA (564 nucleotides) under uncultured bacterium. Its description in RNAcentral is "bacterial SSU rRNA". It matches the Rfam family "Bacterial small subunit ribosomal RNA", at positions 338 to 916 of the family's 1533-position model. The record is from RNAcentral.
CCUACGGGAGGCAGCAGUGGGGAAUCUUGGACAAUGGGGGCAANCCCUGAUCCAGUGACGCCGCGUGACCGAGGAAGGCCCUCGGGUCGUAAAGGUCUUUCAGCGGGGACUAUGGUGAAGGUACCCGCAGAAGCAGGAGCGGCUAACUACGUGCCAGCAGCCGCGGUAAUACGUAGGCUCCAAGCGUUGUUCGGAAUCACUGGGCGUAAAGCGAGCGCAGGCGGCGCGCCGUGCCGGUCGUGAAAUCUCCCGGCUCAACCGGGAGGGGGCGGCCGGGACUGNCUUUNUUAGAGUGCGGCAGGGGAAGGCAGAAUUCCUGGUGNAGCGGUGGAAUGCGUAGAGAUCAGGAGGAAUGCCGGAGGUGGAGACGNCCUUCCGGGCCGCGACUGACGCUGAGGCUCGAAAGCGUGGGGAGCNAANAAGAUUAGAUACCCCGGUAGUCCUGGCCGUAAACGAUGAGCACUGGAUGUGGCGGGUAUUGACCCCUGCCGUGUCGGCGCUAACGCAUUAAGUGCUCCGCCUGGGGAGUACGGUCGCGAGGCUGAAACUCAAAGGAAUUGACGG